GCACCGCUAGCUCAGCUGGUAGAGCACCUGACUCUUAAUCAGGGUGUCCAGGGUUCGAACCCCUGGCGGUGCA
Molecule: transfer RNA, 73 nt
Filed under: Lachnospira multipara
Lineage: Bacteria; Bacillati; Bacillota; Clostridia; Lachnospirales; Lachnospiraceae
Also listed under: 1 other name
Rfam family: tRNA
About the family: Transfer RNA (tRNA) molecules are approximately 80 nucleotides in length. Their secondary structure includes four short double-helical elements and three loops (D, anti-codon, and T loops).
Source: Rfam by way of RNAcentral